UACGUAGGGUGCGAGCGUUAAUCGGAAUCACUGGGCGUAAAGCGCGCGUAGGCGGCUUUUCAAGUCAGGGGUGGAAUCCCACGGCCCAACCGUGGAACUGCCUUUGAAACUGUAGAGCUUGAGUGUCGGAGAGGGUGGCGGAAUUCCAGGUGUAGGAGUGAAAUCCGUAGAUAUCUGGAGGAACACCGGUGGCGAAGGCGGCCACCUGGACGACAACUGACGCUGAGGUGCGAAAGCGUGGGUAGCAAACAGG
This 253-nucleotide ribosomal RNA is filed under the name uncultured bacterium. RNAcentral's name for it is "partial 16S ribosomal RNA". It matches the Rfam family "Bacterial small subunit ribosomal RNA", at positions 524 to 776 of the family's 1533-position model. The record is from RNAcentral.